AGUAGUGUAUGCUUCUCCUAAAGACUAAGCCAUGCAUGCCUUUGAAUAAGAGGAAGCAAUUCUCUCUGAAUCUGCGAACGGCUCCGCAAACCAGUUGUAAACUAUAGCAAGCAAUCCUGUGGCUGGGUUUCGGCCUGGKCAUGGGUAAAAUGGAUAACCAUGGKAAUUCUGAGGCUAAUACAAGAACGUACUCCCUGGCUGACCGGCAACGGAAGGCUGGGGAGCGUGCAACGUAUCGUAAGACAAACCGGGAAUGGGUGCACGCUUGGACCGCGCAAAAAACAGAUCUUGGCGAGCCUUCGGGUGAGCCUUGGCCUGAGCGGCUCUUGCUGUGUGCUUCUGACCUAUCAACUAGAUGGCAGCGUAACGGACAUGCUAUGGUUACAACGGGUACAGAGGAUUAGGGUUCGAUCCUGGAGAGUGGGCCUGAGAGAUUGCUCAUACUUCUAAGGAAGGCAGCAGGCGCGCAACGUUCCCCUUGGGCAAUGCCCGAGGGCGUUAGGGGACAUAUGAAUGCCUGCCAUAUUGGUGGGCAAUUCAAAUGGGUCUGUUCUAAACAGCCUCU
This 565-nucleotide ribosomal RNA is filed under the name Polyschismium alpestroides. RNAcentral's name for it is "SSU rRNA". The record is from RNAcentral. Lineage: Eukaryota; Evosea; Eumycetozoa; Physariida; Didymiaceae. RNAcentral also lists the same sequence under 1 other name.